Molecule: unclassified non-coding RNA, 391 nt
Filed under: soil metagenome
Description: partial contains 5.8S ribosomal RNA, internal transcribed spacer 2, and large subunit ribosomal RNA
Rfam family: 5.8S ribosomal RNA (bases 1-122)
Source: RNAcentral
GAUGAAGAACGUAGCGAAAUGCGAUACUUGGUGUGAAUUGCAGAAUCCCGUGAACCAUCGAGUCUUUGAACGCAAGUUGCGCCCGAAGCCAUUAGGCCGAGGGCACGCCUGCCUGGGCGUCACACGUCGUUGCCCCCCCAUCUACUCCUUCGGGAUUGCGGGGGGCGGAUGAUGGCCUCCCGUGCGCCUUGUCGCGCGGUUGGCAUAAAUGCCAAGUCCUCGGCGACGCACGCCACGACAAUCGGUGGUUGCGAAACCUCGGUUGCCCGUCGUGUGCGGUCGUCGCGCAUCGAGGGCUCGUAAAAAUUGUCGGGCUCCGGCUCGGCUUUCAACGCGACCCCAGGUCAGGCGGGGUUACCCGCUGAAUUUAAGCAUAUCAAUAAGCGGAGGA